Molecule: non-coding RNA, 31 nt
Filed under: Homo sapiens (human)
Lineage: Eukaryota; Metazoa; Chordata; Mammalia; Primates; Hominidae
Source: RNAcentral
UGCAGCAAGAAAGACCUGAGGCAGGUGCAGG